Molecule: ribosomal RNA, 497 nt
Filed under: uncultured bacterium
Lineage: Bacteria
Description: partial 16S ribosomal RNA
Rfam family: Bacterial small subunit ribosomal RNA
Source: RNAcentral
GAUGAACGAUGGCGGGGGGAGGAAUACAUGCAAGUCGAGCGAACAGACGAGGAGCUUGCUCCUCUGACGUUAGCGGCGGACGGGUGAGUAACACGUGGAUAACCUACCUAUAAGACUGGGAUAACUUCGGGAAACCGGAGCUAAUACCGGAUAAUAUAUUGAACCGCAUGGUUCAAUAGUGAAAGACGGUUUUGCUGUCACUUAUAGAUGGAUCCGCGCCGCAUUAGCUAGUUGGUAAGGUAACGGCUUACCAAGGCAACGAUGCGUAGCCGACCUGAGAGGGUGAUCGGCCACACUGGAACUGAGACACGGUCCAGACUCCUACGGGAGGCAGCAGUAGGGAAUCUUCCGCAAUGGGCGAAAGCUUGACGGAGCAACGCCGCGUGAGUGAUGAAGGUCUUCGGAUCGUAAAACUCUGUUAUUAGGGAAGAACAAAUGUGUAAGUAUCUAUGCACGUCUUGACGGUACCUAAUCAGAAAGCCACGGCUAACUACGUG